GAUGAACGCUGGCGGCGUGCUUAACACAUGCAAGUCAAGGGGGCCCAGCAAUGGGCAACCGGCGAACGGGUGCGUAACACGUGAGCAACCUACCGAAUUGUGGGGGAUAGCCGGCCCAACGGCCGGGUAAUACCGCAUAAGCUCGAGGCGAGGCAUUUCGACUCGAGGAAAUCUACGGAGCGAUUCGAGGGGCUCGCGGCCUAUCAGCUAGUUGGUGAGGUAACGGCUCACCAAGGCGACGACGGGUAGCUGGUCUGAGAGGAUGGCCAGCCACAUUGGGACUGAGAUACGGCCCAGACUCCUACGGGAGGCAGCAGUGGGGAAUCUUGCGCAAUGGCCUGACGGCUGACGCAGCGACGCCGCGUGAGGGAUGACGCUCUUCGGAGUGUAAACCUCUUUUGCCCGGGACGAACUGCCGGCAUUUGCCGGCUUGACGGUACCGGGUGAAUAAGCACCGGCUAACUCCGUGCCAGCAGCCGCGGUAAUACGGGGGUGCG
Molecule: ribosomal RNA, 497 nt
Filed under: uncultured bacterium
Lineage: Bacteria
Description: bacterial SSU rRNA
Rfam family: Bacterial small subunit ribosomal RNA
Source: RNAcentral